Molecule: small RNA, 106 nt
Filed under: Klebsiella pneumoniae
Lineage: Bacteria; Pseudomonadati; Pseudomonadota; Gammaproteobacteria; Enterobacterales; Enterobacteriaceae
Also listed under: 1 other name
Description: Salmonella enterica Typhi npcRNA 44
Rfam family: Salmonella enterica Typhi npcRNA 44
Source: RNAcentral
CUUUAAAAAUCUGGAUCAAGCUGAAAAUUGAAACGACACACAGUCAAUGUGUGUUCGAGUCUCUCAAAUUUUCGCGACACGAUGAUGUUUUACGAAACAUCUUCGG